CCUACGGGUGGCAGCAGUGGGGAAUAUUGCACAAUGGGGGAAACCCUGAUGCAGCGACGCCGCGUGAGUGAAGAAGUAUUUCGGUAUGUAAAGCUCUAUCAGCAGGGAAGAAAAUGACGGUACCUGACUAAGAAGCCCCGGCUAACUACGUGCCAGCAGCCGCGGUAAUACGUAGGGGGCAAGCGUUAUCCGGAUUUACUGGGUGUAAAGGGAGCGUAGACGGCAAAGCAAGUCUGGAGUGAAAGGCGGGGGCCCAACCCCGGGACUGCUUUGGAAACUGUUUAGCUGGAGUGCAGGAGAGGUAAGUGGAAUUCCUAGUGUAGCGGUGAAAUGCGUAGAUAUUAGGAGGAACACCAGUGGCGAAGGCGGCUUACUGGACUGUAACUGACGUUGAGGCUCGAAAGCGUGGGGAGCAAACAGGAUUAGAUACCCGGGUAGUCC
This 441-nucleotide ribosomal RNA is filed under the name Salmonella enterica subsp. enterica serovar Anatum. Its description in RNAcentral is "bacterial SSU rRNA". It matches the Rfam family "Bacterial small subunit ribosomal RNA", at positions 338 to 796 of the family's 1533-position model. Lineage: Bacteria; Pseudomonadati; Pseudomonadota; Gammaproteobacteria; Enterobacterales; Enterobacteriaceae. The record is from RNAcentral.